RNAcentral lists this ribosomal RNA (253 nucleotides) under uncultured bacterium. Its description in RNAcentral is "partial 16S ribosomal RNA". It matches the Rfam family "Bacterial small subunit ribosomal RNA", at positions 524 to 776 of the family's 1533-position model. The record is from RNAcentral.
UACGAGGGAUGCAAGCGUUAUCCGGAAUUAUUGGGCGUAAAGCGUUCGUAGGUGGUUAUGUAAGUCAGUUUUCAAAGAGUCCGGCUUAACCGGAUAAAGGGGAUUGAAACUGCGUGACUAGAGUUAGGUAGGGGUAAGAGGAAUUCCUAGUGUAGCGGUGAAAUGCGUAGAUAUUAGGAAGAACACCAGUGGCGAAAGCGUCUUACUGGGCCAUAACUGACACUGAGGGACGAAAGCUAGGGGAGCGAAAGGG